Molecule: ribosomal RNA, 509 nt
Filed under: uncultured Caulobacter sp.
Lineage: Bacteria; Pseudomonadati; Pseudomonadota; Alphaproteobacteria; Caulobacterales; Caulobacteraceae
Description: bacterial SSU rRNA
Rfam family: Bacterial small subunit ribosomal RNA
Source: RNAcentral
GCGACGCGGCGGCGGGCUACCCAUGCUUAUCGAACGGAUCCUUCGGGAUUGGUGGCGGACGGGUGAGUAACACGUGGGAACGUGCCCUUUGGUUCGGAACAACUCAGGGAAACUUGAGCUAAUACCGGAUGUGCCCUUCGGGGGAAAGAUUUAUCGCCAUUGGAGCGGCCCGCGUCUGAUUAGCUAGUUGGUGGGGUAAAGGCCCACCAAGGCGACAAUCAGUAGCUGGUCUGAGAGGAUGAUCAGCCACAUUGGGACUGAGACACGGCCCAAACUCCUACGGGAGGCAGCAGUGGGGAAUCUUGCGCAAUGGGCGAAAGCCUGACGCAGCCAUGCCGCGUGAAUGAUGAAGGUCUUAGGAUUGUAAAAUUCUUUCACCGGGGACGAUAAUGACGGUACCCGGAGAAGAAGCCCCGGCUAACUUCGUGCCAGCAGCCGCGGUAAUACGAAGGGGGCUAGCGUUGCUCGGAAUUACUGGGCGUAAAGGGAGCGUAGGCGGACUGUUAAGU